CCGGUAGCUAAAUGCGGAAGAGAUAAGUGCUGAAAGCAUCUAAGCACGAAACUUGCCCCGAGAUGAGUUCUCCCUGACUCCUUGAGAGUCCUGAAGGAACGUUGAAGACGACGACGUUGAUAGGCCGGGUGUGUAAGCGCAGCGAUGCGUUGAGCUAACCGGUACUAAUGAACCGUGAGGCUUAACCUU
This 189-nucleotide ribosomal RNA is filed under the name Escherichia coli. RNAcentral describes it as "partial 23S ribosomal RNA". It matches the Rfam family "Bacterial large subunit ribosomal RNA", at positions 2742 to 2925 of the family's 2925-position model. The record is from RNAcentral. Lineage: Bacteria; Pseudomonadati; Pseudomonadota; Gammaproteobacteria; Enterobacterales; Enterobacteriaceae.